UAUGUUUGCAGCCCCACUACUGCUGCCCAGUGCUGUGAAUGCAUGCUAGGCAGCAGCCUUCCAACUCAACUGUAUCCUUCAGACAUACAUCCAAAGGCUGUGUCCGGAGGAAUGGUCUCCCACAAGAUUUGCGAUUCACCCUGUCUACCUACAUGAUAUCCCAGAAAACUAAUCUCCAGGAUGACAGCUCAUUCAGCACUCUGGAAAUUUACCCAUGCUGAGCUCCUCUUUAAAUAAUGACCUGACAUUUGUUCUGUAGAGGGAGACAAAGCCCAGACUGAUGAAAACGGUUGGCAGCUGCUUUCAUUUGUGCCAUUCAGAAGCCAGAUGAUAAUUUGUCCUCAGGGACCCAUCACUUCUUGGCAGUCAGACCUGUCCACUGCACUUUGCUAUUACUUUGGCUGUUACCUCCCACCCCUGGUGCAUGCAGCACACACACAGAGUCAAUAUUCAAGGCAGACUAAACUAAAAUUUACUGCAAAGAGUCAUGAAGGAUUUAAUGUUUCUGAGAAGCGGGAGAUAAGAUCACAUAUUAAUUUGGUGCUGGUAAAUCCAAAGCAGUAGAUAUUGGGAAAGACAUUGUUAGACCUACAUAAAAGGUUAAAUUAGCUAUUGCUCAGAAAAGAGAUCCCAGCCUCUUUGAACUGUUUAAUGAAGACAUUAGCUAAGCAAUAAAGGCCAAAGAGGCAAAGCACUCUGAACUAGUGGGCAAACAGAUCAAGCCAGAAAACAUUGUUCCAGAUGAACUUUGAGUUCACAUUUUGCAUACACUGUGGAGCUCUCAUUCCUUUAAAUUAGCUAGAGCAGAAAUACAAAAUAUACAGACAAGGAUGACCAUGGUAAUCAGAGCAUCUUCCAUAUAAGCAGAUGUUAAAUAAAUGAGGACUUCCCAGCCUGGAAAAAAAGAGGUUACUAGGAGGUGAUAAUAAUGAUGACACAUUAAAUCAUCAAUGGAAUCCAGGAGAACAGAUGCAAUUAUUCAUUAUUUUUCACAGGAUACAACUGGAAGAGAUAAAAUGAAGUGCUCACAUACCAGCUUGCAUGAAAUAAUUACCCAACAAAGUGCUUUUUUUCCACAGCCAAUACACACCUGUAGCAUUAACUGUCAAAGGAUGUUAUGGUUGCAGUUUAGGAUGGAAUGCAGAAUUUACCUUGGACCAAAAAAUCCUUCCCAAUUCUUGGAAACACUAUAUAAAUAUAUAGGGCCAUCCACACUUUAGCUGUGGAAGAGCAAUAGCAACAGCAAUGAGACAAGUCUAUGCAUGUGGUCCCAGCACAUCUUAGAUCCCUUUAGAUGCAGAGUCUGUGGUACCCAUGAAGGGAGAGGAUAUAUAUAUAUAUAUAUUUCAUACUGUGCCUCUUCUUUCUAUUCCUGGCAGUUUUUAUUUUUAAGGAUCCCCAAAUUGUUGCUGCUAUGUUGGAUGUCAUCUAUUCUACCCAGCAACAGAGGAAGUCAUAGCUGCCCUUCAGAGACAUGUUUGCAGAGAGAUGGGGAGAGACAAGCUGAAGCAGGCUUCCCUCUUAAAGGAUUGAAAAAGAAAAAGCCCCAGUGUGCUGCAAAUGUUCCAGCCACUAUUUUCCAAGUACAUGAUCUGCUCUCUCAUCUAAGCUGAACACGCUGAACACUUGAAUGUGUCCAACUCUCACUGACAUCAGCAAGGUCAGGCAGCAAUACAGGCAGCCGUGCUGCUGUCCUGCUUCUCCCUUUGGAACCAGUGCUCUGUUACAUAAUCCCUCCUGUUGUCCUGGAACCUCUGCAGCCACUCUCAGUCAGCAGUGGUUAGUGAGGGAAAGGGAGCAGGGGUUCAGCCUUGGAAGUUACUGUGCAACACAAUUGCAAGUGGUGCCACCAAGGAGAAGUCAAAGGGACACUGUACAUAAAGCAGUGCCAAGUACUCAAAUGCAUCUGUUUCCAUGGCUAUAGCACAGCCUGCCAAAAUACAGUGCUGGUUUAUAUCUGAGUCAAAUUGCACUUCAGUCACACUACUGUCGCUGUCCUUUGCAACUGCUUUAGUCCAGGAUUCCUGCACAAGCCUUGCUUCUUUCACAUAAAUAUCCAUUGAUGAUUUUUGCUGAAGAAAAUGCAGUCAAGGUGGAAUUCACUCUUCACCCGGGAGUCAGGAGCUCUUCCUUUGCUGAUUCUGCCCACAAGACAAAACCCCAGGGGCAGAAGGCCACGAGCUCUAUGUAGAACAUGCUGUGGUCUGCAGCUUUUUUCCCUCCAGCACAGUGGGGACCCAGGCAGGGUCCAGGGGAUCCUUCCCUGGGGAAGGCACGCAGCCAGGGCUGCCUCAUGGCUUAGAGCUGCACCCAGCCAUUGCAAAGCCCCUCAGCUCUGCAGUUCUCCUGUCAUGGUGCAGGCAGGUGAGAACACCUCUAAGAGGCCACAAAUCUGGUUCUCACACACAAAGGUGAAGAAACAAAGAAACUUGGUCUCACUUUCUGCAAUACCCAUGGCCAAAAAUAAUCCAGUACAGAGCAGGAACUGGUGUACCGCAAAUCCUGGAAGGGUUUCAUUUUCCCCCAAGAGGCAGGGAGGGAGCAGAGCAUGAACCAGACCUGGUUCAGUUACUUUCCUUAUGAGGCUGUGCAAGCCUGGCCCAUGGCUUGGGCUGCCCUGCAGUCUUGCUUUCUAUGACACCCUGCCCUUCCUGAUUACAGACUUGGAAUGAUCACUGCUCAACAUAGGUGUCAGCCAGACUGUCUCUACAUCAGGCUCACCACACAUCACUGAGACACCAUGAACUUCCACCAGCUCAGCUGAAGAGGUGUUUGCCCCUCUCUGCUCCUCAGCAGUGUCACAGGCUGGGACUGCUGGUUUCCACACCAGAUCUCUUUAUGCCAGAUAUUCAUGGAGCCCAGUUUGGGCAGCUUCCCAGCCAGCUGCAUGCAUUCCCCUUUCAAAUCCCAAACACAACAGAAAAAGAAAAGCCCAUCCAAAAUGGAGAAGAAGAGGACAUGUGCAGUGUCUUCAGCUUUACACUAAAGUGUCAGUUCACUUUUCCCCAAAUACAGAGCCCAAUGAUUGGUGAUAAUUUUCUGUUCUAUCUUCUUAAAGCUGCGUAAGAGAAUCAGUGCCAUUCUUUGGUAGCAUGAUUCACCCCAACACCGCCAGGAAGAAAACAGUUUGAAACACCAGAUGCUCUUUGCAACCAGUGCUUUGGAUAUAUUUCCAGCAAGGGUUUUUCUUCCCUCCCCACGAAAACAGACACACAUUCUCAUUUAACAACUAAUUGAUUUAUUUAACAAUACAAAUUUCUUUCUACUGCAUGGUUUAGCAGAGAGAACUUGAGAAACAAAAUUAGCUUCUUCUCUUUUUCUUUUAAAGUUUAAAUGUUUACACAAAAACAACCUUUACUUCAGUAAAUAUAAAAUUUACACACAAAAAAAAUCUACAUUAAAAAAUAACAGAAUCAUGACAAACCAACAAAAAAAAAAAAAGGGGGGGAUGGGAAUUCAGUGUAAAGGAUCCAAUUGCAAGGAAGGCAAGAUGGGGCAACACUAACAAGGCAUCCCAUUUGUACACCUAGGUACCUGAAGUUGUAGGUACAAUACAAACCCAAAAUACAUUAAAAUUAGAAUUAAAACCUGUAUUUUUAUACCAUAAUAUUUUAUGAUAUAAAUUUCUGUAAAUUCUGUAGGCGACACAGUUAAUGUGUGAGCUCCACAGUUUGCUCUCCACUGGAAGGUCACUGGAGUGGUGUAGGAGCACCGUGUGGCCCACGAGUGCACUAAUGGUCAGCAGGGAGCAGACUUCAGACGUGCAGCCCGGACGUGAUAGCCCCUUGUUCCUUUGCCAAUCUGUGCUAUUUCUCACACAUCCAAUGACAUGACGAGAAAUUCCGGUCACCUUCAGCAGUGAUUUCCAGCACUUCAUCUCCUGGCAUUAGUCUGUUACCUGACUUAGGCAUAUUCACCUGCCAGAUCCUGUUUCUCAUUCCCUUUUGCACUUUUUAACCUGAACUCUAAAGCUAUCUUGUAGCUACCAAGAGAGACUGGCUUCUAGGUUGAGAUAUUUGGGAUACACAGUUCUUCAAGCCACCUUCAGGCAUCUGUAGAAAUAUUUAAAGUAAGGUGGACCUUACUUUACAUGGUCAAAGGUUGUGUGAUACAAAAACCAGGGACCUGUAUAGUAAUGGUUAACUUUAGACCUAAAUCUUUAGCAUUUUUUUGUAUUGCUUUAAUAUUUAAACUUAACAUUCAGUUUUCAUAUAUUAAGUGAGCAGAGCAUCUUAUUGAUGGAAGUGCUAUGUUAUCUCUGAAAAUACCAGGUAGUAAGGGAGAUUGUAAAAUUUAAAAUUAAGUGUAAUUUUAAAAAUCAUUUAAAGGAAUCAAGUGUCUUUUUUUUUUUAUAUAUAAUCAAUAUUGUGACUGGCAAACUAUAAAAGCUUAAAUUAUAAAACUAUUAGUGACUCUACCUUUUAAACUGUAUGUACUAUAAAGCUGUAUUUUUGUACUUACAGAUGUUACAAAAUUUCCAAGGCAGAAAAUGAAGGGGGGAAAAGGUAGUCUAAAAUAAUUUACAGAUUUCAUUUUUACUAAGAAAGGUUAUUUUCCCCACUACUGUUUUUAUGUCAUAUAAAUCUGAUUAAGUUUAUUGUACUCCUCUCUUUUCUGGGUAGAUGAUACAGUGUUCAAUCAUGCUUUGGAAGACCUUUUUCAAUGGAUAACUCAGUUCUCUAGGUCAGCAAGUCCAACUUGCUUUACUCAGAAACAAAAGCACCAGACUAUCUCUAACUUCGCCUUCCUCCUGAAAAAAACCUUUGUAGCGAGACUGAGGCAGCCUGUUCUGAGAGCAGGACUGGCCCUGGAGCAACCAGCUGUGUUAACUUCUCGAGUAAGCAUAUGAAAUGUGAUCAUUUCAACUUGAGAAAGAGCUGAAAAGUAUUAAAUUUCAGAAAAGUUUAGAAAUUUCACUUGUUCUGUUAAAAACAAAACAGGGAAAACUUAAACAAUCCACAGGUGUGCAUUAAACAUUUAAUAGCAAGCCUUUGCUUAUGUAUAUUAAUUUAAAAAUUAUCCACAGGGAUCUGUGAUACAUUGGUCUUGCCUUGUUAUUAUAAUUAAAUUUAUUAAAAUAUUAAUUUAAAAUAGGAAAACAAAGAAACUACUCCAUGGGGAACAUGUUUAUUGUGUUUGAGAUGAUACACUGGGUGCUCUCUGAGCUACAAAGGGAAAAAGGAAAUCCUUUCAUUACAAACUGACAAAGGUAAAAGUUAGAACAGUUUUCACAACAGCAUGUACCACAUAUUGGAAAUAGAUCUGGGUUUAAUACAAAUGACAUAAUUCCUAGUAAUCUACAGCUACCUUUAAUAACUUCA
Molecule: non-coding RNA, 5321 nt
Organism: Cyanistes caeruleus (blue tit)
Lineage: Eukaryota; Metazoa; Chordata; Aves; Passeriformes; Paridae
Source: RefSeq, a predicted model, not a curated record